AAUGGAACUAUUUUCUUAAUUUCCUUUUUGGAUUGUUUAUUGUUAGUUGUAGAAAUGUAACCGAUUUUUGUGUGUUCAUUUUGUGUCCUUCAACUUUGCUGAAUUUAUUAGUUCUAAUUGUCCUGCUUUUAAAAUCAAAUUAAUUCCAACAUUUAAAUCUUAAUUAAAUUCAUAUCAAACUCUAGACUUCCUUUUUGUCAUGAAAUAUUGGAAGAUGUGGCACCUCUGAGCUGACAUUCCCACAUGGCACCCACCGCUUGAGGUCGAGUGGCAGCUCCUGCCUUUGGUGGAGAUGAGCAUCCUUCAGCACACUCCAGCCCCCCCACCCUUUCUGUCUCUGCUUACCAACCUCAUCCACAAGCUCUGCUCUGGCUGGCCCCUCAUGCAUUCAGCAUUCCUCCUACAUGUACUUACUGAACACCUACUGUGUACCAGACACUGUUUCAGACACUGGGAGUAUAGUGCUGAACACAACAGACAAAAAUCCCUACCUUCACAGACCUUUCCUUCGCAUAUAUCACUCAUUUAAUCCUCGAGACAGCCUCCAAGAGGUGGCCUCAUUAUGCAAAUAAGGAAAAUAAGAGACACAGAGAACUUAAGAGACUUGUCCAGGGUUACCCAGCGGGUAAGGGAAUGUCUGGAUUAGAACCUGGGCAGCCUGGCUUAAGAAUUCAAAUUGUCAGCUGCUAUUACUUGCCCGUCAGUGGCAGAAGGACCCAGAGGUGAAGACUUGGCAACAGAGGCAGGGUGGCAUGGACAGGGGACAGACCGGCCUGGCCAGUGGUCAUAGAGCCAGGAUCAGGCCUUCUGUGGGCUCCACAGAGUGUGCUGCCAGGGCCACCCGGCUGGCCUCUGGGCUGAGUUUCCUUGAGGUUGUCUGGAUUCCGGGCCCUCUGGCCUUCCCAGCUCAGCAGUUUUGGCCUGGGAGAGGCCACUUUUCCUUAGCAGACAGCUGAUGAUCAUUGCUGGGCUUGGUGGGAGGUAAAGAGGUAACCAGCAGGUUUUCUCUCUGUGAUAGUAAGAGGCCGCCUUGGAAGCAAACAGCUGAGAAAACACAGACCUGGGCUGGCCGGCCCCGCCCUCGGUCGAGCAGCUUCUGCCUGUGAAGUGUAAAUGCAGGUGGUGUCAAGUAGGCAGACAGGCCCAGCUCCCUCUUCCCCUUGAGCAGGCAGGGCCGAGGCCCCCUGCAGCAGGCCCGUGACUUAGUUGCUCUGGCUGAUGAAGAGCUUGGGCCUGGGAGGAGUGUCGCACAGCCCCAGCCUGGUCCGUCCUCAGCCCUGGAUUGACGUCCAUGCUGUCCUGGAACCGUCUCAGCGGCCUAGUGGGGAACCUGCUUUCUCCUCCAUCCUGUGUCUUGGGCUCAGGCAUGUGCCCGCUGCCCCUUUGCGGCCACAAGUAUGUAUCGAGCCCACGGUGGCGCUCGGGACCCUCCCCUGGUGGGCUUAGAGACACGGAUGGCCUUUGCUGGCUGGGAGCUGCGGUGAGUGUGUGAAGGGCCCUCGGUCUCCCCUGAGGAAGGCCCUGCCUUCUGGCUCUGCCUGCUUUUGGCUUUCACUGCUCCCAGGCCGUCUCCCAUCGGCCUUCCCCAGGUGCCUCCACUUCUCUCUGACUUCUUGCCUGUUUUCCCUAAUUCUGAGAGAUUGCCUGCCUUCAAGUACAGGAGAAAGCGGACAUCUUCCCCACAAGCCCGAGACCUACACCCAGUAGAGCUGGCCAACCACCUGCCACGGAGCAGGUCACUGGUGCCUGGGCCAGAGUGCUCGUGGUGCCAGUCUGCUGCGUCUCAGCCACAGUCCCCCUGCUCUGCUGCCCGCAACAAGCCAGAGAUGACCUAGUGUCUGACAUCUCUGAGUAAAGGGGCCUUUUACAGCCCCUUCCUCAACUCCCUCACCACCCCCCAUGCUCCCCGAGCCUGAUCCCCCCACAUUGCAGCCACCUCCUUCUGGGCACCCCUCUGAGAUUCCAGACAGAACCCAGGAGCCCCCAGGUUCCCAUUGUGAUGCAAGGACAGAACAGAACCCCGGGCCGCAGGCAGGUGGCCAGUGGCUAUCCCGCCUCCCACCCCCAGCAAACACUGGCAAACCCCGCUCUCCUUGCAUCGGGGUCGGAGUGCCUGGCAGUGACGACAGUGGAGACGAUCAAGGUGGAACACCUGAAGGAGAAGCUCAUUAGCCAGGCCCAGGAAGUGAGCCGACUGCGAUCUGAGCUGGGGGGCACCGACUUGGAGAAGCACCGGGACCUGCUGAUGGUGGAGAAUGAGCGACUGAGACAGGAGAUGCGGCGCUGCGAGGCCGAGCUGCAAGAGCUACGUGCAAAGCCAGCAGGUCCCUGCCUGGGUUGUGAGCACAGCCAGGAGAGUGCCCAGCUCCGUGACAAGCUGUCCCAGCUGCAGCUGGAGAUGGCGGAGAGCAAAGGCAUGCUGUCAGAGCUGAACCUGGAGGUGCAGCAGAAGACUGACCGGCUGGCUGAGGUGGAGCUGCGGCUCAAGGACUGCCUGGCUGAGAAGGCACAGGAGGAGGAGCGACUCAGCCGGCGCCUGCGUGACAGCCACGAGACCAUUGCCAGCCUGCGGGCCCAGUCCCCACCUGUCAAGUAUGUCAUCAAGACAGUGGAGGUGGAGUCGUCUAAGACCAAGCAGGCCCUCAGCGAGUCCCAGGCCCGCAACCAGCACCUGCAGGAGCAGGUGGCUAUGCAGAGGCACGUGCUGAAGGAGAUGGAACAGCAGCUGCAGAGCUCACACCAGCUGACCGCGCGGCUCCGGGCGCAGAUUGCCAUGUACGAGUCAGAGCUGGAGCGGGCCCAUGGGCAGAUGCUGGAGGAGAUGCAGUCCCUGGAAGAGGACAAGAACCGGGCCAUUGAGGAGGCCUUUGCCAGAGCCCAGGUGGAGAUGAAGGCUGUGCACGAGAAUCUAGCAGGCGUCCGGACCAACCUGCUGACCCUGCAGCCAGCACUGCGGACCCUCACCAACGACUACAACGGGCUCAAGCGGCAGGUGCGCGGCUUCCCGCUGCUGCUGCAGGAGGCCCUCAGGAGUGUCAAGGCCGAGAUAGGCCAGGCCAUCGAGGAGGUCAACAGCAACAACCAGGAGCUGCUGCGCAAGUACCGCCGUGAGCUGCAGCUGCGCAAGAAGUGCCACAACGAGCUCGUGCGGCUGAAAGGGAACAUCCGAGUGAUUGCUCGUGUCCGGCCAGUCACCAAAGAGGAUGGGGAAGGACCUGAGGCCACCAAUGCUGUGACUUUCGAUGCCGACGACGACUCCAUCAUCCACCUGCUGCACAAGGGAAAGCCUGUGUCCUUCGAGCUGGACAAGGUGUUCUCCCCACAGGCCUCGCAGCAGGAUGUGUUCCAGGAGGUGCAGGCCCUGAUCACCUCUUGCAUCGAUGGCUUCAAUGUCUGCAUCUUUGCGUACGGCCAGACGGGUGCUGGCAAGACAUACACGAUGGAGGGGACCCCUGAGAACCCAGGUAUCAACCAGCGGGCCCUGCAGCUGCUCUUCUCCGAGGUGCAGGAGAAGGCGUCUGACUGGGAGUACACCAUCACCGUCAGCGCCGCGGAGAUCUACAACGAGGUCCUCAGGGACCUGCUAGGGAAAGAGCCUCAGGAAAAACUGGAGAUCCGGCUAUGCCCAGAUGGCAGUGGGCAGCUGUAUGUACCAGGGCUGACUGAGUUCCAGGUGCAGAGCGUGGACGACAUCAACAAGGUGUUUGAGUUCGGCCACACCAAUCGCACGACGGAGUUCACCAACCUCAACGAGCACAGCUCCCGCUCGCAUGCGCUGCUCAUCGUGACGGUGCGAGGCAUGGACUGCAGCACGGGCCUCCGCACCACGGGGAAGCUGAACCUGGUGGACUUGGCUGGCUCCGAGCGCGUGGGCAAGUCGGGGGCUGAGGGCAGCCGCCUGCGGGAGGCACAGCACAUCAACAAGUCGCUGUCAGCUCUGGGGGACGUCAUUGCUGCCCUGCGCUCCCGCCAGGGCCACGUGCCCUUCCGCAACUCCAAGCUCACCUACCUGCUGCAGGAUUCACUUAGUGGUGACAGCAAGACCCUCAUGGUGGUACAGGUGUCCCCUGUGGAGAAGAACACUAGCGAGACGCUCUAUUCUCUCAAGUUUGCUGAGCGGGUGCGCUCUGUGGAGCUGGGGCCUGGGCUACGCAGGGCAGAGCUUGGGUCCUGGUCGAGCCAGGAACAUCUAGAGUGGGAGCCGGCUUGUCAGACGCCACAGCCCUCAGCACGGGCCCACUCAGCCCCCAGCUCUGGGACCAGUAGCCGCCCUGGAUCCAUCCGGAGGAAGCUGCAGCCCUCGGGUGAGCCUGGGGUGGAAGUGUGGGUGGGGGAGUCUCCCCAGGAUAAUAGUCACCAGGCUGCCCUUACCUGGAUUGGCUUUCUAUUUUCUUUCCUUUUUAAAAAGUUCUUACAACUUCUCCAGAACCUGUUUUACAACCUCCCCUGCCCCCAGGCAGUCGUCAGGGCAGACAGUGCUGUGUUCAGUCUGCAGGUGGGAAAUGAAAGGUCCGUGGGGAGGGGUAGUGUAAGGAGACCCCAGCCUCCCAGCUUGGGGUGCUGACUUUACCCUGGGACCCUGCUCUCUGAGGGUGGGCUGGCUGGGCCUGUGCAGUAAGCCCCCUCCAGAGCAGUCCCUGCAUCCCCCUCCCUGCACCUCAGCUGCCCUGGGGAUAGAAAGGGCAGGGCUUGCCUACGUCCUAGGUGAGGAGUGAGCCCCACCACAGGACUGGGAUCCAGGACUCCAGCCCCUGUUUAGCCCAGAUCAUGGGAAGGCCUGGCCUGUCCUUGAGUCCAAAGGGGUAGCAGCAGCAGGGUCCUGUGGGGUACUGGCCUGAGGCAGGCCCACCAGUGAGACGCCUGUCACUUUGAUUUCAGCCUGACGGCUGGGGCUGCAGCCUCUAGGGAAGUCGCGGCCACUGCCUGUGUGACGGAUGUGACCCCGCUGGGCCUGGAGCUGGGCCCCGAGGCCUCACUGGCCUGUUCCUGCUGCAGCGCCAGGACCCCCGGAGGUGGAGGCAAGAGUGAAGGCUCCUCUUCUGCCCCGUCUCCCCUCAGAGAUGAGAAACAUGUUCAGAAGGAAACGGUGUCUCUCGGCUGUGGCUCUGGGUGCAAAUUGCAUGGGCGGAAAAGCGGGGGUGGCUGCUCUUCCUGGCGGGCCUGGGCUGUCAGUGAGCUGGGCCCCGUGAGGAGGGCAGGAGAGUGGAGGAGGGCGGGCCUCUCACCCAGGCUGCCCCAGCUCCUCUCCUCAGCUUGCAGGACUGGCCAGCCCCUUCCUUCGUGGGUGGGCAAGGAGCCUCCUGGCAGGCUCAAGAACCAUGCGGACUGGGGUGGGUUGGUGGCACCAAGGGCAGCCCUCCCCGCCCCUCUCCUUCAAGGAGGGGUCCCGCAGCUGGGGUGUGUACAGAGGCGCACGGCCUCCUGCCACGGGGCCGCGCCAUAUUUAUGGCUGACAGAGGCAGCCAGUGGGUGGGGGAUUCUGCUGCUCCCUCACCUGCCUGGCUCACUGGUCUCUUGAAUUUUCUUCCCUCUGAAAUCUAUUUAAGAACUUUUGGAAGCUUAGCCAUUUUUACUUAUUAAAAUAAAAGCCUUUUUACACAA
This is a non-coding RNA of Macaca mulatta (Rhesus monkey), 5601 nucleotides long. The record is from RefSeq and is a predicted model, not a curated record. NCBI's taxonomy places the organism in Eukaryota, Metazoa, Chordata, Mammalia, Primates, Cercopithecidae.